This 253-nucleotide ribosomal RNA is filed under the name uncultured bacterium. RNAcentral describes it as "partial 16S ribosomal RNA". It matches the Rfam family "Bacterial small subunit ribosomal RNA", at positions 524 to 776 of the family's 1533-position model. The record is from RNAcentral.
UGCGUAGGGUGCGAGCGUUAAUCGGAAUUACUGGGCGUAAAGCGUGCGCAGGCGGCGCGUUAAGACAGGUGUGAAAGCCCCGAGCUUAACUUGGGAAUUGCGCUUGUGACUGGCGUGCUGGAGUGUGGCAGAGGGAGGUGGAAUUCCACGUGUAGCAGUGAAAUGCGUAGAGAUGUGGAGGAACACCGAUGGCGAAGGCAGCCUCCUGGGCCAGCACUGACGCUCAUGCACGAAAGCGUGGGGAGCAAACAGG